RNAcentral lists this long non-coding RNA (738 nucleotides) under Ananas comosus (pineapple). RNAcentral's name for it is "long non-coding RNA (ACOM_LNC014778)". Lineage: Eukaryota; Viridiplantae; Streptophyta; Magnoliopsida; Poales; Bromeliaceae. The record is from RNAcentral.
AUUAGGUACAAGAGGGGGAUAAGAACUUAUCCCCCCUUUUGUACCCAAACAAUAAUUUGGGUGGGUGGGAACAAGCUUGGUCCCACCUUUGUUAGAGAGAGAGAGAGAGAGAGAGAGAGAGAGAUAUACACAUGUAUAUACAUACAUGUAUAUACAUGUAUAACAGUGCACAAGAGGAUAAAUAGUGCAACAAGAGAAAAAACAGUGCAAUAAGAGGAGAAACAAUAUAAAUAUCUCUUAAAGGGGUGCAGUUUAAGAUAAAAAAUAGUGUAACAUGAGGAGAAAUGAUGCAACAUGAGGAGAAAUGAUGCAACAAGAGAAGAAACAGUGCAACAAGAGGAGAAACAGUAUAAAUAUCUCUUAAAGGGGUGCAGUUUAAGAUAAAAACUGUGUAACAAGAGAAAAAAUGGUGCAACAAGAGGAGAAACAGUGCAACUUGCGUUUAAAUAGUGUAAUUUUUAUCUUAAUGGAUCCAGUUUACAUCUGAAAGAGUGCAAUAAGAAAAGAAACAGUGUAAAUAUUUCUCAAAGAGUGUAAUUUUCGUUUAAAGAGUGUAAUUUUAAUCUUAAAGCUGCAGUUUACAUCUUAAGUAGUGCAACUUAUAAUUUUUUUUUGCAGUUAACGAUGCAAUUUCAUCUUCAUACUUCUUUUUAUAUAAUUUUUUAUCUUUAUUUUUUUUCUGUUUUUUCUAUAAUUUUUUUUUAUCACCCUCUCUGCCAACAGUCACAGCGCCGGUGA